GUGGCGAACGGGUGAGUAACACGUGGGCAAUCUGCCCUUCACUCUGGGACAAGCCCUGGAAACGGGGUCUAAUACCGGAUACUGACCCUCGCAGGCAUCUGCGAGGUUCGAAAGCUCCGGCGGUGAAGGAUGAGCCCGCGGCCUAUCAGCUUGUUGGUGAGGUAAUGGCUCACCAAGGCGACGACGGGUAGCCGGCCUGAGAGGGCGACCGGCCACACUGGGACUGAGACACGGCCCAGACUCCUACGGGAGGCAGCAGUGGGGAAUAUUGCACAAUGGGCGAAAGCCUGAUGCAGCGACGCCGCGUGAGGGAUGACGGCCUUCGGGUUGUAAACCUCUUUCAGCAGGGAAGAAGCGAAAGUGACGGUACCUGCAGAAGAAGCGCCGGCUAACUACGUGCCAGCAGCCGCGGUAAUACGUAGGGCGCAAGCGUUGUCCGGAAUUAUUGGGCGUAAAGAGCUCGUAGGCGGCUUGUCACGUCGGUUGUGAAAGCCCGGGGCUUAACCCCGGGUCUGCAGUCGAUACGGGCAGGCUAGAGUUCGGUAGGGGAGAUCGGAAUUCCUGGUGUAGCGGUGAAAU
Molecule: ribosomal RNA, 579 nt
Filed under: Streptomyces sp. I14A-00939
Lineage: Bacteria; Bacillati; Actinomycetota; Actinomycetes; Kitasatosporales; Streptomycetaceae
Description: bacterial SSU rRNA
Rfam family: Bacterial small subunit ribosomal RNA
Source: RNAcentral